This 417-nucleotide long non-coding RNA is filed under the name Zea mays. RNAcentral describes it as "long non-coding RNA (ZMAY_LNC002714)". Lineage: Eukaryota; Viridiplantae; Streptophyta; Magnoliopsida; Poales; Poaceae. The record is from RNAcentral.
GAUACCAGUCAUUUCUACCUUCAGAACGGUGGCAGUUCUAACAUUAGUGCAGGCGCUGCUUUUCGGCCCAACGGUGGCUGGACUGGGAGAAGAGGAAGAAGCAACCUGAACUCGAAUUCAGGUGGUGGAAGCAACCUGAACUCAAACUCAGGUGGUGGAAGCAACAUGAACUCGAAUUCAGGUGGUGGAAGAGGAGGGAUUCAGGGUACCAGAAGACAGAGGACAAAUUACAACUGAUAGUGAUGUUGGGACAUGCUUCGAAAUAGGAGCGAUAACUGAUGAGAUAAACAAACUUAAUCCUUUGUCUUCCAUUUUUUUUCUUUGUUUCUCUCGUAUUAUUAAUCCUUUUGUAGCCUGUGGCUAUUGGCACCUUGUCAAACAUCUUCUCUCCGUUUCCCCUGAAUUGUUAUGCCUGGU